UCAGAGGAUUGGAUGAUGCCAGCCCACAUUGGUGAGGGUGAUCUUCUUCAGUGUACUGAUUCAAGUGCUCAUCUCUUCAGGAAACACCCUUAUAGACAACUCCAGAAAUAAUGUUUUACCAGCUAUCUGGGACAUCCCUUAGCCCAAUCAGGUUGACACAUAACAUUAACCAGCACAAUGACUAUCAACUAGUACUGAAAGUGAUUGUGGAGCAAAAGAAAAACUUCACCAAAAAAUCUACACGAAGGAGUAUAACUCAACAUAUGUCAAAGGCAAAAAAGCAUAUGAAGGAAGGAUAAAAACACUCUUAUGCUACAACUGUUAACAUACUGAGGAAAUGAAGCAUAAAGAGUGAAUAUAUUAACCCAGCCCUAAUAAAUGGAAAUGACUCCUUCUCUUCUCCUCCUCUUCUCAAUCAGCUUCAUAUAAUUGGUCUUUGCCUGCAUUCUACCAUAUACAGUCUUUCUGAUGAAAAAUAAGAUACAAUAACUUCACCAAAAUGUAAAGGACAAAUAUAAAGAGAAAACUUUAUUCUAGUGCUUAUAAGACUGUUUAUUAAUCAUGGCUCACUGUAGAAAGCUUUUAAAACCAAUAUCUUCAAACUUCCAGAACAAUUCAGAAUUGAAAAAUAAAAGGGAGAGAGAGAAAUGAAAACCCAACUGAACUACAUUCCUAAAAAUGUUGUCACUGGGUGUCUGCUUUUUCAAUAAGAGCCCAGAAAUUAUGACCAACAGCUACAAUGCUUCUUUUAAGAGAGACUGAUUUUACUCUUACAAAGAUUUUGGUUCAUCCACUCAUUCACAAUUUUGAAAUCCAUAAUUGUUGACUGAGAUCAAAUCUCAUAAAUCUAGUGCAAUGACCUUUUAAUUUGUGGACUUCAAAAUAAUGAACCAUUAGAAUCCAUGUAAUUUUGUAUAAAAUUAUCUUGUUGCCAUUGUAAAUUGCACCAUUAAGAACAAAACAAAACACACCAUAUCCUUAGCAACUGUGGAGUAUUUUU
Molecule: long non-coding RNA, 1000 nt
Organism: Diceros bicornis minor
Lineage: Eukaryota; Metazoa; Chordata; Mammalia; Perissodactyla; Rhinocerotidae
Exons: 4
Source: RefSeq, a predicted model, not a curated record